Molecule: non-coding RNA, 2850 nt
Organism: Pelobates cultripes (western spadefoot toad)
Lineage: Eukaryota; Metazoa; Chordata; Amphibia; Anura; Pelobatidae
Source: the annotation of a GenBank genome assembly
GGAUCUCUUACUAACUAUAUAAAAUUAUGGCUAAGAUAUCUGUAUGGUUAGCCCUACUAAGUUCUAUGCUUUAAGACAUUAUAGUGGUAAAUAAGGGAACCACCUGCGGUUACAGAAUGGGUGAAGGAAUUGGAGCUCCGGGUAUGGCAGGAGAUGUGGCUGGAAGAUGCCUACCAGGCGCUCUGGUGGUAUGGGGCACAGUACCUGCCCUGGACAGCCGAGCAUGACAAGCCAGAGGGAGAGGAGUUUGAUGGUCCUGGCUUGUUAUGGGAGACUUUUUCAGAGCCUGAGUUUGGGAGCCCUACACAAGCCUGGUUCCGUGAUCUCUUGGAGUGGAGGGAGAGCAGGUAUGACUGGGACGACACUCAUGAGAUUGAGCAAGACCUGGUCCACCUAGUGACCCGAGAGAUGAAGCUGGAGCUGGAGCAGGGCUACCAUGAUCUGUUCCACAUCAGUGAAAAGGCUCAGCAGGGAAGCGGAGACCCAGAUCCAGACCCAUUCAGCUGGGCAGAUAUUGCAGAGUGUUACUGGGAAGAACCCCAGGUGGCUGGUGGAGAUGACACAGAGGUCUCUCCACCGGUCCUGCAGAGAAUUGGGAGCCCAGUCUCCAUUCCCCAGCGGGAGAUACAGCAGGGAAUUGGGAGCCCAGGCUCCAUUCCCCAGCAGCAGGCUGAGUUACAGGGGACAGAGAUGGUUGCUCCUGUCCCCCAGCAGCAGAGUGAAUUGCAGGGAAUUGGGAGCCCAAGCUCCAUUCCCCAGCGGCAGGCUGCGUUACAGGGGACAGAGAUAGUUGCUCCUGUCCCGCAGCAGCAGAGUGAAUUACAGGGAAUUGGGAGCCCAGUCUCCAUUCCCCAGCGGCAGUAUGAGUUAUUGGGAAUUGGGAGCCCAGUCUCCAUUCCCCAGCGGGAGAUACAGCAGGGAAUUGGGAGCCCAGUCUCCAUUCCACAGCGGCAGAGUGUCCUACAGGGAAUAGAGAGCCCAGUCUCCUUUCCCCAGCAGCAGGACUCUGUAUUGGGAGCAGAGACAGUCGGUCUCCCUCCCCCGCGGCUGGAAGUAUAUAUGGGAGAGAAGCUUGUUACCCCCUCUCCCCAGCAGCAGCUUAACGUACCAGGGGGAGAUAGCAAGCCCCACAACCAUGCAGAUGGGACCGUGGUCUCUGCACUUACAGCACAGGGGGUAGGGACGGUCGGUCCUGCCACCCAGCGACAGGGCUGUUUUGCCAAAGGGGAGACAGUCGGUCUCCCCCUUCAGCAGUGGAGCUGUGUAUCUAAAGGGGAGACAGUCAGUCUCCCCCUCCAACAACCAGGCUACUCCCAUGGUAGCGCUGGCACCAGGGCAUUGUACCGCUGGUCUCUGCCCACUCAGCAACCCACCAAUGCAGCUUACCAGUCACCCACACAGCCAUGGUGAGGCACCUGGACAUGGACAAAGUUCUCCUCUACCCAGGUGUAGUAACCAGUUAUUGUGGGUGGCCUGUAGUACUGAUUGUGUUUUUGUGGGUGGGCUGCUGGACUAACAGGGGGACUGACCGGCAGGAGGUCAGAUACCCUGUUAGUCUGUUUGGAAAAGGGGAGAGAUGUGACGAGAUCAAUCUCGCCCCAUUGCAUUGGAGAAGCCUGGUUGCUCGCCUGUUACCUUUGGACUAUGGCCCCAUGUUAAAAGCCUUCUUUUCCCCUGCAGAAAAGGCUUAUUCGUGCCUUUCUGCCCGGCGGUCGGUAGAUUCAAUCUACCGAACUAACGCACAAAUGACUGGACCACCUGGGAGCUGGAGUGUGUCGACAAUUAACCUCCCAGAAGCUGCAGUUACCCGCAGCUUGACGAAUGCUGGGUGGCCGCCAUUCGUAUACCGAACACGAGGUUGCGGCCAUUUUAAACACGCAAAUGCACAGCGGUGUUCGACGCCCAACUCAUGGAACUGAAAAUGGAUACAUUUUGGGCGCGAACACCGCUGAAGCCGCCAACCUCCCUUCUUGUUCGGUAGACGUGUACGAACGGUCCUAUAUUCGGUAGUUGUACCCGAAUACACCAUACCCCAGAUAGGAAUCCCGUGGAGCUCAUUCAUAUGAAAACUGACUUUGUGAACACUUUGGCUCCACGGCGAUUGGACUGUGUGCAUAGGAUCUGAGCGCUAUUCAGUACUUUGGUGCGCUCAGAUCGUAGCUAUCUGGGGACCUGUUGAAUGCCUGUAAAAUAUAACAGUUAUGUAUUUUUAUGUCUUUUUGUUAUUGUCACCUAAAAUGGCGUUUGGGCUCUGUCCUGGGAGAUAAUUGAAUUACUUCACAAUAAUCUCCCUGAGCAGAGUAGAGGGUUCUGGGUAAGAAAAUGGGAAUGGCUAAGUGUGUACCCUGUGAUUGGUUGCUACAAUGCCUUUGUCACAGUCUCCCAUUUGGUCCCCUAGGGGAGUGUCCACCAAGUGGGAGACCUGCAUAAAUACUGGGCAGGUAUCCCUCAUUAAACCAGACCACUGCUUGACCGUCAACACGGAGCUCUGUCUCGUUCUUGGGGGGUAUUUACUGUAUGCUGAUAGAGACUGAUUUCUAGGAGUGUAAGCCGCUUGGGUGCUUUUCCUAUUCGUCUGCUAGCAGCUAUACGUGAGAUUCCAGUUCGGGAGUUGGGAGUGCUAUUUUGUAUGCAGUUCGGGAGUUUGGAGCAUUCCCUUAUAUGCGGUUCGGGAGUUUGCUGUUCUGCAGUAGCUGUGCCUGUGUCUCUGGAAGGGGAAAAUCUUCUAAACGGCGGUUUAACCCUUAUAUGCCUGGGGGUGCUGUUACAGAAUGAGACUACAGAUUGGAUGAAAUCUCCUCAUCCACUUCCUGGUCGAAUAGACCUUGCUAUAGUAGGCUCAGAGGCCUU